RNAcentral lists this ribosomal RNA (433 nucleotides) under uncultured bacterium. RNAcentral describes it as "partial 16S ribosomal RNA". It matches the Rfam family "Bacterial small subunit ribosomal RNA", at positions 29 to 507 of the family's 1533-position model. The record is from RNAcentral.
AGCGAACGCUGGCGGCAGGCCUAACACAUGCAGGUCGAACGGAUCCUUCGGGAUUAGUGGCGGACGGGUGAGUAACACGUGGGAACGUGCCCUUUGGUUCGGAACAACUCAGGGAAACUUGAGCUAAUACCGGAUGUGCCCUUCGGGGGAAAGAUUUAUCGCCAUUGGAGCGGCCCGCGUCUGAUUAGCUAGUUGGUGAGGUAACGGCCCACCAAGGCGACGAUCAGUAGCUGGUCUGAGAGGAUGAUCAGCCACACUGGGACUGAGACACGGCCCAGACUCCUACGGGAGGCAGCAGUGGGGAAUCUUGCGCAAUGGGCGAAAGCCUGACGCAGCCAUGCCGCGUGAAUGAUGAGGGUCUUAGGAUUGUAAAAUUCUUUCAGCGGGGACGAUAAUGACGGUACCCGCAGAAGAAGCUCCGGCUAACUUCGUG